CCGUCUCCGCCUCCGGCGCCGACUGGACCUCGGUCUUCGGCGAGGAGAUGGUCCGGCUCGGCAAGGAGCGCGAGGACAUCGUGGCGAUCACCGCCGCCAUGCUCCAGCCCGUCGGCCUCCAGAAGUUCGCCGACGCCUUCCCCGAGCGGGUCUACGACGUCGGCAUCGCCGAGCAGCACGGCGCGGUCUCCGCGGCGGGCCUGGCCAGCGGCGGCGUCCAUCCCGUCUUCGCCGUCUACGCCACCUUCCUCAACCGCGCCUUCGACCAGCUCCUGAUGGACGUGGCCCUGCACCGCUGCGGCGUCACCUUCGUCCUGGACCGGGCCGGGGUCACCGGCACCGACGGCGCCUCGCACAACGGCAUGUGGGACAUGUCCAUCCUCCAGGUCGUCCCGGGCCUGCGGAUCGCCGCCCCGCGCGACGCCGACCAGCUCCGCGCCCAGCUGCGCGAGGCCGUCGCCGUCGAGGACGCCCCGACCGUCGUCCGCUACUCCAAGGGCGCCGUCGGCCCCGCCGUCCCCGCCCUCGGCACCGUCGGCUCCAUGGACGUGCUGCGCGAGCCGGGCACCUCCCGCCCCGACGUGCUGCUCGUCUCGGUCGGUGCGCUCGCCCCGAUGUGCCUGGAGAUCGCCGGCCUCCUAGACAAGCAGGGCAUCUCCACCACCGUGGUCGACCCGCGCUGGGUCAAGCCGGUCGACGAGGCGCUCGCCCCGCUCGCCGAGCAGCACCGCGUGGUCGUCACCGUCGAGGACAACAGCCGCGUCGGCGGCGUCGGCUCGGCCGUCGCCCAGGCGCUGCGCGACGCCGGUGUGGACGUACCGCUGCGCGACUUCGGCAUCCCGCCGCGCUUCCUCGACCACGCCACCCGCAAGGAGGUGCUGGCCGAGAUCGGCCUGACCGCCCCGGACAUCGCCCGGCAGGUCACCGGCCUCGUCGCCAAGCUCGACGGACGGUACGAGCACGGCACCCCGGCCCAGGCCGUGGAGCCGGCCCGCGACUGACCCCUCCUGCCCCCGGGCAGGCCAUGGGCCGGGCCCACCACCCCGCACGGGUGGUGGGCCCGGCCCAUUCGCGUGAAGCGGGCCGCGUCGGGCCAUGCGCCGCGCACCGCCCUCCGAUCAUGGCGGGGACGACCAGCGCGGGAGGUACACCCUUGAGCAGCCUCUUCAGGACGAAGAGUGUCGAGCAGUCGAUCCGGGACACGGAGGAGCCGGAGACGGCCCUCAAGAAGUCGCUGUCCGCCCUCGACCUCACCGUCUUCGGCGUCGGUGUCAUCAUCGGCACCGGCAUCUUCGUCCUCACCGGCAAGAUCGCCAAGGAGACCGCCGGCCCCAGCGUCGCCAUCGCCUUCGUGGUGGCCGGCCUGGUCUGCGCCCUCGCGGCCCUCUGCUACGCCGAGUUCGCCUCCACGGUGCCGGUGGCCGGCUCGGCCUACACCUUCUCCUACGCCUCGCUGGGCGAGUUCCCGGCGUGGAUCAUCGGCUGGGACCUCAUCCUGGAGCUGGCGCUCGGCUGCGCCGUCGUCGCCGUCGGCU
Molecule: ribosomal RNA, 1535 nt
Filed under: Streptomyces sp. PVA_94-07
Lineage: Bacteria; Bacillati; Actinomycetota; Actinomycetes; Kitasatosporales; Streptomycetaceae
Source: RNAcentral